This 399-nucleotide ribosomal RNA is filed under the name uncultured bacterium. RNAcentral describes it as "bacterial SSU rRNA". It matches the Rfam family "Bacterial small subunit ribosomal RNA", at positions 521 to 916 of the family's 1533-position model. The record is from RNAcentral.
UAAUACGGGGGGAGCAAGCGUUGUUCGGAUUUACUGGGCGUAAAGGGCGCGUAGGCGGUCGUGACAAGUCACUUGUGAAAUCUCCGGGCUUAACUCGGAACGGUCAAGUGAUACUGUCGGACUAGAGUACAGAAGGGGCAACUGGAAUUCUCGGUGUAGCGGUGAAAUGCGUAGAUAUCGAGAGGAACACCUGCGGCGAAGGCGGGUUGCUGGGCUGAUACUGACGCUGAGGCGCGAAAGCCAGGGGAGCGAACGGGAUUAGAUACCCCGGUAGUCCUGGCCUUAAGCGAUGAAUGCUUGGUGUCUCGGGUUAUAAAGUCCCGGGGUGCCGUCGCUAACGCUUUUAGCAUUCCGCCUGGGGAGUACGGUCGCAAGACUGAAACUCAAAGGAAUUGACGG